AGAGUAUCAAGAUGGCGGCAUGUCCUUGGACAAAAAAGCCGAUAUAAAAUUUAAAACAAAACUGGCUCGUAAUUACUUGCUGAAAAUUGCUGAAAGACUGAAAAAUAUCAUCGCGAGAGAAUCUGGCGACACGAUGACCCUGAAACACCUCCUUAUCAAAGCUGGGGACUAUGCAGAGGACGACGCUAUGGUGGCCAAUUUUAAACAAACAGUCACCAAGUUCCUCGAGUAUGUUCACGUACUGAUAGA
This is a long non-coding RNA of Cydia amplana, 249 nucleotides long. RefSeq lists it as uncharacterized. Lineage: Eukaryota; Metazoa; Arthropoda; Insecta; Lepidoptera; Tortricidae. The record is from RefSeq and is a predicted model, not a curated record. The transcript is spliced from 3 exons.